RNAcentral lists this ribosomal RNA (253 nucleotides) under uncultured bacterium. RNAcentral's name for it is "partial 16S ribosomal RNA". It matches the Rfam family "Bacterial small subunit ribosomal RNA", at positions 524 to 776 of the family's 1533-position model. The record is from RNAcentral.
UACAGAGGGUGCGAGCGCUAAUCGGAAUUACUGGGCGUAAAGCGUGCGUAGACGGUUAUGUAAGUCGGGUGUGAAAGCCCCGGGCUCAACCUGGGAAUUGCAUUCGAGACUGCAUAGCUAGGGUGCGGAAGAGGGAAGCGGAAUUUCCGGUGUAGCGGUGAAAUGCGUAGAUAUCGGAAGGAACACCAGUGGCGAAAGCGGCUUCCUGGUCCAGCACCGACGUUCAGGCACGAAAGCGUGGGGAGCAAACAGG